This 943-nucleotide long non-coding RNA is filed under the name Anas platyrhynchos platyrhynchos (common mallard). RNAcentral describes it as "lncRNA (ENSAPLG00000031058.1)". Lineage: Eukaryota; Metazoa; Chordata; Aves; Anseriformes; Anatidae. The record is from RNAcentral.
GUUUUACUAAGAAAUGAUAACAAACACAAACAAUUUAUUCAAACAAAUGCCCAGACCACAAUGAUAGUUUAAUAGCCCCUGUGAAACUGGCUCCAUGCUGAGCCCUUUCGUGUUACUUUGAUUGAUUCUGAAGAUACUAGCUUUUGUCCAGCCAAAGUGUUUUAUCAGGCUGAUAGAAAUCGCAGGUAUUUGUAUGAGGUGCUUUUUGGGUGAAGGGAGGCAUCUCUACAUAUCACACCUGACUUCUACUGAUCUCAAGGAGUACUUGAGAACUCUGGAGCACCCAUUACCUAUGCACCAAGAAAACAUCCUAUCUUUGCAGCUUUGGAGGAGGCUCAGGACUUGCAGCCAGAGGCUGUGUGGGGAUGAUGCUCAGGAUGCAGACUGUGAGCAGUCGCACCCGGAGGGGACACAUCUGGCAGUGCUCUUCACAGGGGAACUCAUCCACCGAACAGACUCUGCUGGCCUGGGUGUUUGCAGCGCCCAGGUAAUGAAAACUUCUAGCAGAGAGAAAUGCAAUCUCUUGUUAAGCCAUCAAAGCAACUAUCAGUCUGUAGUCUUCAUUUCUUUGACCAGUGAAGUGUGCGUGUAUAUUUGUGUGCACAUUUGAGUCUUCCUGUGAAAUGAAUGAACAAAAUGGAGCCUCUCUCUCUUUUUAUGCCCUUGCUUUCUUAGCUCCUUUUGCUAGUCAAGCAGGAUGUAGGUGGGUUUCCAAGGGAGCUUUUGUUUCAGAAAACUGGUUCAAGACCCACUCCUAGUCUACAAAGGAGUAGGUGGCACUCUCGGCUUGCUUUCUGGUGCACUGGCUAUCACUGCAGUCCUUGAAGAUGCUGAUUUAAGAAAAAGCUAAUGUAUUCUUUGCAAGUCUCAGUACCUGUGGCUUCUUUACAGCAUCUCCACUUUGCUUUGCUCCUUCUGUUUAUUUAUUUAUUUAUUUUGAGGC